GAAGCGGUGGCUCAAUGGUAGAGCUUUUGACUCCAAUUUUCACUUAGUUGUUAUCAAAGGGUUGCAGGUUCAAUUCCUGUCCGUUUCA
This 88-nucleotide transfer RNA is filed under the name Henningerozyma blattae CBS 6284. Its description in RNAcentral is "Tetrapisispora blattae CBS 6284 tRNA". It matches the Rfam family "tRNA". Rfam says of the family: Transfer RNA (tRNA) molecules are approximately 80 nucleotides in length. Lineage: Eukaryota; Fungi; Ascomycota; Saccharomycetes; Saccharomycetales; Saccharomycetaceae. The record is from Rfam by way of RNAcentral.